Long non-coding RNA from Mus musculus (house mouse), 206 nucleotides. RefSeq annotates it as predicted gene, 39776. The transcript is spliced from 2 exons. The record is from RefSeq and is a predicted model, not a curated record. Lineage: Eukaryota; Metazoa; Chordata; Mammalia; Rodentia; Muridae.
UUCCUGCUUUGAUGAUAAUGGACUGAACCUCUGAACCUGUUUUGCCUCAGCAGAGCACCACGUGAGUCUGUAUCAGCUGAUAUCACUCUGCCAAUCAGCCCGAGUCUGCAAGAAGCCACCAGAACACCACCAGAAUUUUUUGGGUACAUUUUUCUGUGAAGUUGUAACAAACUAUGACCAUUAAAAACUGACAAGGUGUACCAAUA